UGGGGAAUUUUGCGCAAUGGGGGCAACCCUGACGCAGCAACGCCGCGUGCGGGACGACGGCCUUCGGGUUGUAAACCGCUUUCAGCAGGGAAGAAAUUCGACGGUACCUGCAGAAGAAGCUCCGGCUAACUACGUGCCAGCAGCCGCGGUAAUACGUAGGGAGCGAGCGUUAUCCGGAUUCAUUGGGCGUAAAGAGCGCAUAGGCGGCCUCUCAAGCGGGAUCUCUAAUCCGAGGGCUCAACCCCCGGCCGGAUCCCGAACUGGGAGGCUCGAGUUCGGUAGAGGCAGGCGGAAUUCCCGGUGUAGCGGUGGAAUGCGCAGAUAUCGGGAAGAACACCGAUGGCGAAGGCAGCCUGCUGGGCCGCAACUGACGCUGAGGCGCGAAAGCUAGGGGAGCGAACAGG
RNAcentral lists this ribosomal RNA (404 nucleotides) under bacterium. RNAcentral's name for it is "partial 16S ribosomal RNA". It matches the Rfam family "Bacterial small subunit ribosomal RNA", at positions 355 to 776 of the family's 1533-position model. The record is from RNAcentral.